RNAcentral lists this long non-coding RNA (669 nucleotides) under Gallus gallus (chicken). RNAcentral's name for it is "long non-coding RNA NONGGAT004753". The record is from RNAcentral. Lineage: Eukaryota; Metazoa; Chordata; Aves; Galliformes; Phasianidae.
CCCAGAGUAAGCUGCAAGAAAACAUCCGGCAGCUAAGGAUGUCCUAGAUGGAGGAAACCCUUAGCUGUCCAUCUCCUUGAGAAGUUCGACACGAGGGCAGCUGGAGCGGGCAGCUGCCGGGGCUCGGCCAUGGCUUGAGGCUGCACGGGGCCCUCACUGCCGGGGGGCCGACCAGCCCAUGUCACUGAAGGGUCCCUCGCCCGUGGCCGACCUGGGAGGAGGGCCGCAGGGCGUGCAGAGGUCAGAAUCGGUGUCCGAUUCCCCUUCCGCAAUGUAGGGUCUGAUUUUGGCCACGGCUGCAUAGCAACCGUUGUUAAGGAUGUCCAAAUUCUCUUUGGACUGGGAAAUGCUAAAGCCGCUGAAAGAGCGCUCCAGUUCCUCGUGGUCUACCGAGGGGAUGGAGAUGGACGUGUCGCUGUCUCUCAGGGCACUCUCGUGGUGUUUGGUGUUACACUGCCAGAUGACGCACCCUCAGCUAGCUCAGAAAUACACGAGCUGUUGGAGUCGGUGAGAUACACUGUGGGACUGUGGAACUCAAUGAAUGGGGGACAUCCGUGGUUGGCAAGGGAUGAGACACGAGACAGCGUGAACACAACGUUGAAAAGAGCACAUUACAGACACGACACAGUGACAGAGACAUUCGUGAAUAAAGAGGAAAGUGCAGGUAAA